Molecule: ribosomal RNA, 838 nt
Filed under: Schizophyllum radiatum
Lineage: Eukaryota; Fungi; Basidiomycota; Agaricomycetes; Agaricales; Schizophyllaceae
Description: eukaryotic LSU rRNA
Rfam family: Eukaryotic large subunit ribosomal RNA
Source: RNAcentral
GCGCUAACUUUUGACUUGACCUCAAAUCAGGUAGGACUACCCGCUGAACUUAAGCAUAUCAAUAAGCGGAGGAAAAGAAACUAACAAGGAUUCCCCUAGUAACUGCGAGUGAAGCGGGAAAAGCUCAAAUUUAAAAUCUGGCGGUCUCCGGCCGUCCGAGUUGUAAUUUAGAGAAGCGUUAUCCGUGCUGGACCGUGUAUAAGUCUCCUGGAAUGGAGCGUCAUAGAGGGUGAGAAUCCCGUCUUUGACACGGACUACCAGUGCAUUGUGAUGCGCUCUCGACGAGUCGAGUUGUUUGGGAAUGCAGCUCAAAAUGGGUGGUAAAUGCCAUCUAAAGCUAAAUAUUGGCGAGAGACCGAUAGCGAACAAGUACCGUGAGGGAAAGAUGAAAAGAACUUUGGAAAGAGAGUUAAACAGUACGUGAAAUUGUCGAAAGGGAAACGGUUGCAGUCAGUCGCGUUCGCCGGGGAUCAACCUUGCUUUUGCUUGGCGUAUUUCCCGGUGGAUGGGUCAGCAUCAGUUUUGACCGCAGUUGAAAGGCUGGAGGAAUGUGGCACCUUCGGGUGUGUUAUAGCCUCCUGUCAUAUGCUGCGGUUGGGACUGAGGAACUCAGCACGCCGCAAGGCCGGGAUUCGUCCACGUUCGUGCUUAGGAUGCUGGCAUAAUGUCUGUAACCGACCCGUCUUGAAACACGGACCAAGGAGUCUAACAUGCACGCGAGUGUUUGGGUGGCAAACCCGAGCGCGUAAUGAAAGUGAAAGUUGAGACCUCUGUCGUGGAGGGCAUCGACGCCCGGACCAGAACUUUUGGGACGGAUCCGCGGUAGAGCGUGUAUGUU